CCCCUGUGAACAUACCUAAACGUUGCUUCGGCGGGAACAGACGGCCCCGUGAAACGGGCCGCCCCCGCCAGAGGACCCCUAACUCUGUUUCUAUAAUGUUUCUUCUGAGUAAAACAAGCAAAUAAAUUAAAACUUUCAACAACGGAUCUCUUGGCUCUGGCAUCGAUGAAGAACGCAGCGAAAUGCGAUAAGUAAUGUGAAUUGCAGAAUUCAGUGAAUCAUCGAAUCUUUGAACGCACAUUGCGCCCGCCAGUAUUCUGGCGGGCAUGCCUGUUCGAGCGUCAUUACAACCCUCAGGCCCCCGGGCCUGGCGUUGGGGAUCGGCGGAGCCCCCCGUGGGCACACGCCGUCCCCCAAAUACAGUGGCGGUCCCGCCGCAGCUUCCAUCGCGUAGUAGCUAACACCUCGCGACUGGAGAGCGGCGCGGCCACGCCGUAAAACACCCAACUCUUCUGAAGUUGACCUCGAAUCAGGUAGGAAUACCCGCUGAACUUAAGCAUAUCAAUAAGGCGGAGAAA
Molecule: ribosomal RNA, 518 nt
Filed under: fungal sp. YWGKDF5
Lineage: Eukaryota; Fungi
Description: eukaryotic LSU rRNA
Rfam family: 5.8S ribosomal RNA (bases 131-284)
Source: RNAcentral